UGUUCUGUGGUGCAACGGAUAGUGCUUUGGCCUUCUAGGUUAGGCUUCCAAAGUUUGUGGGAUCAAGUCCCACCUGAGUUG
Danionella cerebrum is the source of this 81-nucleotide non-coding RNA. The record is from the annotation of a GenBank genome assembly. NCBI's taxonomy places the organism in Eukaryota, Metazoa, Chordata, Actinopteri, Cypriniformes, Danionidae.